GGAUGCGAUCAUACCAGCACUAAAGCACCGGAUCCCAUCAGAACUCCGAAGUUAAGCGUGCUUGUGCGAGAGUAGUACUAGGAUGGGUGACCUCCUGGUAAGUCCUCGUGUUGCAUUCC
This 119-nucleotide ribosomal RNA is filed under the name Hordeum vulgare subsp. vulgare (domesticated barley). The record is from RNAcentral. Lineage: Eukaryota; Viridiplantae; Streptophyta; Magnoliopsida; Poales; Poaceae.